CGUUACAUACAAACGUUCACCUAAAUUGUCCCAGUCAAUGGAUGAAUUUAAUGUGUCAAUCAAUGGCCACAGCCACACUGUUUUGAAUUUCAUUCUACUUAUAACAGCGUGUAGGUGGUAACUUGUUUUCUAGGUUACCUUAAAUUAAUAUAUUGGAUAUAUUUGGUAUGCGUCUAUCAGACAGCAACAUAACAACGCAAUGAUGAUGAAAACAAAAGACAUCCAUAGGCGAACAUAGUACGGUCGUCAACAAUAGACACAGAAGACAACCAUAGGCGAACAUAGUACGGUCGUCAACAAUCUAUAGGCGAACAUAGUACGAUCGUCAACUAUAGACAAGUUCUGUACUUCAUAUGAAAACUUUAAACUGCUCUGCAUGAAGACAAGUUUUGCAUGAGUCUUAU
This 404-nucleotide long non-coding RNA is filed under the name Mytilus galloprovincialis (Mediterranean mussel). The record is from RNAcentral. Lineage: Eukaryota; Metazoa; Mollusca; Bivalvia; Mytilida; Mytilidae.